This 496-nucleotide ribosomal RNA is filed under the name uncultured bacterium. RNAcentral describes it as "partial 16S ribosomal RNA". It matches the Rfam family "Bacterial small subunit ribosomal RNA", at positions 29 to 507 of the family's 1533-position model. The record is from RNAcentral.
AUGAACGCUGGCGGCGUGCCUAAUACAUGCAAGUCGAGCGAACAGACGAGGAGCUUGCUCCUCUGACGUUAGCGGCGGACGGGUGAGUAACACGUGGAUAACCUACCUAUAAGUCUGGGAUAACUUCGGGAAACCGGAGCUAAUACCGGAUAAUAUAUUUAACCGCAUGGUUCAAUAGUGAAAUACGGUUUUGCUGUCACUUAUAGAUUGAUCCGCGCCGCAUUAGCUAGUUGGUAAGGUAACGGCUUACCAAGGCAACGAUGCGUAGCCGACCUGAGAGGGUGAUCGGCCACACUGGAACUGAGACACGGUCCAGACUCCUACGGGAGGCAGCAGUAGGGAAUAUUCCGCAAUGGGCGAAAGCCUGACGGAGCAACGCCGCGUGAGUGAUGAAGGUCUUCGGAUCGUAAAACUCUGUUAUUAGGGAAGAACAAAUGUGUAAGUAACUAUGCACGUCUUGACGGUACCUAAUCAGAAAGCCACGGCUAACUACGUG